This 73-nucleotide transfer RNA is filed under the name Ovis aries (sheep). It matches the Rfam family "tRNA". Rfam says of the family: Transfer RNA (tRNA) molecules are approximately 80 nucleotides in length. Their secondary structure includes four short double-helical elements and three loops (D, anti-codon, and T loops). Further hydrogen bonds mediate the characteristic L-shaped molecular structure. tRNAs have two regions of fundamental functional importance: the anti-codon, which is responsible for specific mRNA codon recognition, and the 3' end, to which the tRNAs corresponding amino acid is attached (by aminoacyl-tRNA synthetases). tRNAs cope with the degeneracy of the genetic code in two manners: having more than one tRNA (with a specific anti-codon) for a particular amino acid; and 'wobble' base-pairing, i.e. permitting non-standard base-pairing at the 3rd anti-codon position. Lineage: Eukaryota; Metazoa; Chordata; Mammalia; Artiodactyla; Bovidae. The record is from Rfam by way of RNAcentral.
UCCCUGGUGGCUCAGAUGGUAAAAGCAUCUGUCUACAAUGCAGAAGACCCAGGUUCAAUCCCUGGGUCGGGAA